Molecule: non-coding RNA, 3790 nt
Organism: Xyrichtys novacula (pearly razorfish)
Lineage: Eukaryota; Metazoa; Chordata; Actinopteri; Labriformes; Labridae
Source: the annotation of a GenBank genome assembly
CACAACUCGCACACAAGCACGUACAAUGACUUUGUCAAUCACGCACUGAUGUACAGUCGCUCCCACAGGCUCGUCACGGGAACACACACCAAGUCAUACGUGUAAAUCCACCGCCAGGCGAGAGGAUGUGUGCGAUUCGAAAUCACCGCUGGUCGCACGGUUUUAUCCUCGGAUAACCCCUCUGAUAUCCUGCGGGAUUAAAACACUUCAAAACAAAAACUGAUGUAGCGUUCAUCUGUACCACGACUUCAAAAGGAGCUGCUCCACAUCCCUGAUUCACCAUCAUAAGGCUGUUUGUGUCUCUGAGAGAGAGAGAGAGCGCUGAUUUUUAGGUGGAAACCAGCACAGACAGUGUUACUGUAUCAGGUGUGUGCACAAUUCUUGUUUUUUAUUGCGUGCAAAAUCUGUUCUCUCUUUCUAAGGGAAAUAACUGUACAUUUAUGGCACACAUCAGAUGCGACAUAUCGAAGAAAACACGUCUAGAAUAAGAGAUGCACACUCAAAUGUAGGGGAAUGUCGUGAAGUGGAGGAAAAAGAAAGAGUGAGCUGCAGUAAUAGAGAAGAAGAUGUGACAUUUGAGGCUGCAAGGCAUCCCCAAACCAACAUGCACCAAAAUAACCAAGAAGUAGAGUUAACGUUUCUUUUUAUAUACAGAAAUAGAGGGAUUGAAGCAGGAAGAGCAUACUUCCUUCUGUAUGUGCAAAAAAAAGCCAAGGCAGGUAGAGCUUGAUUUUGUGGCCUGAAUGAACUAAUGUUGCCCUGAAUUUGUCCUGAUAUCUUUGAAUGAAGCUUUACUAGAAUUUUUGCCAAAAUAAUUCAGGCUCUAAAUCUUUAAAAAAGGCGGCAGGAGUGAAAUGAACCAGUCUUAAGAGUUGGAAGUUUUCUUAAAUGGUUAUUCGGAGGUUACAAGACAUCUCUAAACCAACAUACUGUAUACACAAAGUGGAAGAAGAGAUGAUGUUUGUUUCUCUUUAAUCAAAAAAUAAAGUGAAACAAGUGAGAGAUUAUCCUACAAAUGACCUGAGCUUUAGUUAGCUUUAGUUUUUUCAAAGUCUAAAUGAAGAACAAAAACAAAAUCAAGUCUUAGGAUAGUCUGCGAAAAGGUCUUUGCACCUGUUACUAAGUCACUAACUUUUUUAAGUUCUGCACAGUCGUGUGUAUAAAUAAUUUAGAGGCUGCCUAGAAUCAAGGGAAAUAGGAAGGUAUUUUACUGACUAUCUGUCGAGAAUAAAUCAAUUCAGGUUAAACUCCGUCUUCUCUACAAGUUGGCAACCUAAUUUGGGUCCCGGUCCUUAGUUUGGGAAAGGCUACAUGACCAUAAAAACGAGGCAGGACCUGUCUUGUUGCUCUAAAAAAAUACUGAACGUAUCUCUUCUCCCUUUGCUCGUCAUGAAACUCCUCCAAAUCCGAUGAAACCUGUCCAAGUCUGUGUUUGUAAGAGACGAAGAGUGGAGCUCCCUGGCUGCCCUUUUCCUCCGUCACACAGCAGUCCGCUGUCUGAUGUGGAGAUAACUGAGAGGAAGCGACCGCUUUGAUCCCUAAUGGGGCCGUGUCGGCUGUGUGGAAAUGACAUUCAUGGCUCGUAUUUACACAAGCACAAUUAUGGAGGUUUAUUUUGGUGAGAGACAAUCAAUUAGAGUGAAACUAUGUCAGCGAUAACGCAGAUUAAAGGAGAGGGUUAGAGCUGGAGAAGGUGAAGAGGAGGAAAACAAGGGUCUGCUGAAACAGGACAGAGGGAACCUUCACUUCGAGUCUUUAACUCUGAAGACUCGGUCUGUUUACAGCUCCUGAGAGGAGGCUUCAGAUGAGCGGGUGUGAUGUCUCUAUAUGACCUACAAAAGGAAACAAGACCAUGGACAGGAAGCUGGAGUGGACAUUUUUAACUCAUUCAGUGCCAGGUUCAUUUAUGCAGUUUUCACCCAGUGACACCGUUGGCCGCAAUAGAAAUGUAUGUAUCUUUCAGGAGCCACAGAAUAUCCUUUGCUUUGACGAGAAUUAAGUGCGAUAUCUCAAAAGAAAGAGGUGGUUCUCUCCUUUCACCAGAAAAAAAAUUAGUCUCUAACCCACUCCUGUGUUUAGUUAUUGCCUGCUCCAUGCAGCGUGGUCAUAUCAUCUUUGCUGAUCUGGAAAAACACAUUUUUAUGAAGGAGAGACUUUGAAGUUACUUCUUCAAACUACUUAACCGGUGGCAUCAAGGUCCUCCCUCCUCGGACACCACUCCUCACCUCUCGAGAUCUGAUUGUGAUAGGUUACACUAAGAUGGCUGGGAGUCAUAUUGGCUCUCGAGAACCUGACUCCGCGACGUAAACCACACGGACUGCCCACGUCCUUCUUGUCGCUGAAUUCCAGCUCAGUCUCGCUCACCAGUACCGACACCGGCCUCACAACGACAUGCCAGAAAAUUGUUUCUUUGAUUGUUUGCUGAGGAUGUUGAAGGUCCGGAACCAGGAUCUUCAUUGGAUCCAGAGACAGAAGCACCUCACCCACUGGAGCUGAUGCGCCGAGACCGUUUACUCUUGGCGAAUGACUUUGGCAUUUUCCUACUCUCCUGAGAAAAAACACUCCACAACCCGGCUAAUUGAUUAUGACAUAUUUGUCGGCUUUUCUGCGUUCAGAACAACCCCAAACUUCGUCGCAUGUUGGGGAGGAGCGCCCUCUGGUGGAAAACAAAAAAACAGAAAAAUCCUCCAUAUCCAUCACUGGCACUGAAUGAGUUAACACCUGCUGCUGCUGCCAGGUUGGUUUUAGACCGAGACCGACUGAACAAACCACGAUAUACAGAAACAACACGAAUGCAUGAACAGGACAAGACCAGCAACAGACAAGAGCACACCUCCUCUUUGAUUCAUGAGCUGAGGCAGGGAGAGCAGCAGCAAAGACCCGAGCAGGACAGGACAGAGACUCAGGAGGGGGCUGAACUAGUCGAGGGCAGUAUCUACAAAGAUGAGGAUGGGAGUGAGGAGGACUUGUUCAGGUAUGGCAGGGGUGGGCAAUCAUGUGCCAUGGACCAGGUGAUUUCACUGAUUACCUCCAAGCAGAGAGCAGGGACUGAUCAGUGAAACCACCUGGUGGAGUUUUGGGUUGGAAAGAAAACCUGCAGUCUCUCUGCCCUCCAUGGCACAUGAUUGCCCACCCCUGACGUAUGGUGCUAAGAGUCCUGAAAUGUCCUUAAGGUGGAGUCCAAAGUGUAAAACUCACACCCACAUGUACGUCUGUCUUGUAGGUUGUAACAGUUAUGAAUCCUCUGUGCACUCCUUCCAGAAACAACAGACUCUACAAAGACCUCAUGCUGGAAGACUAAAUUCCUGUUUCUCAGAAGUCGCUCCAACUGUCCGCUCUGUUUUUGUCUCUCUUUUGUGUUUUUCUCUCUCUCUCUCUCUCUCUCUCUCUCUCUCUCUUUCUUUCUGCCCAGGCAGCAGAAUCAGCACAUCAAAUAAAUACAGAGAGCGGUAUAGAGUUUCGUUUGGAGACGGCACAACAGGUCAGGGACAACGGGAACACAUGGAAGUGCGUGACCUGCGGGUGUUAAAAGACUUCAAUCCCAGUCUGUAAAAGUACGAGUCGGGCUCUCUUUGAAAUCAAAUCGGAUUUUUAAGAUUUAAUGUCUCCUUAAAAAACUGUUUCCAGACGGAUUCUUUUGAAAUGAUCACUUUCCAAGCCCAUGCAUUCCUCACCUACCGAAACACAAAAUACCAGAGGAUGGGGGCUCAUUACAAAGCCCAUCCUCGCUCCACCAAAUGUUAUUAUCACCAUAAACCCGCCGCACUCUGGAGACGUCGAUGGAGACACG